GACAACAGAAGCCACAGAAAUCCUCCUCAUCAAAAACAUGACUUUGAUCUCCGUCCUCAUCUGGACUCUCCUCUGCUGCUGCUUCACAGAGUCCAGAGGCCAGGUCACAGUGACUCAGUCUGCAUCAGUGACAUCUGAACUGGGACGAUCUGCAACCAUCAGCUGUAAGACCAGUCAGAAUGUUUAUACUGGCUAUUGGUCUUCUAGACACCACCACUAUUUAGCCUGGUACCAACACAGAGCUGGAGAAGCUCCUAAACGUCUCAUUUAUCUUGCUGCCACUCGAGCAUCAGGGAUUCCAGGUCGUUUUUCAGGGCGUGGAUCAAACUCUGACUUCACUCUGACCAUCAGUGGAGUUCAGGCUGAAGAUGCAGCAGUUUAUUACUGUCAGAGUCUCCACUAUCCUAACAGUCAGUGGGUGUUCACACAGUGA
Molecule: non-coding RNA, 433 nt
Organism: Scomber scombrus (Atlantic mackerel)
Lineage: Eukaryota; Metazoa; Chordata; Actinopteri; Scombriformes; Scombridae
Source: the annotation of a RefSeq genome assembly